AUCACUCUGGCAGAAAGAUGCACUAGAUUUAGGAUCUAUUUAUAUAAAGGGUUAGCUUUAUGGGUGAUA
Molecule: transfer RNA, 69 nt
Filed under: Plesionika izumiae
Lineage: Eukaryota; Metazoa; Arthropoda; Malacostraca; Decapoda; Pandalidae
Description: tRNA-Leu
Source: RNAcentral